UUGGUGAGGUAAUGGCUCACCAAGGCGACGACGGGUAGCCGGCCUGAGAGGGCGACCGGCCACACUGGGACUGAGACACGGCCCAGACUCCUACGGGAGGCAGCAGUGGGGAAUAUUGCACAAUGGGCGAAAGCCUGAUGCAGCGACGCCGCGUGAGGGAUGACGGCCUUCGGGUUGUAAACCUCUUUCAGCAGGGAAGAAGCGAAAGUGACGGUACCUGCAGAAGAAGCGCCGGCUAACUACGUGCCAGCAGCCGCGGUAAUACGUAGGGCGCAAGCGUUGUCCGGAAUUAUUGGGCGUAAAGAGCUCGUAGGCGGCUUGUCACGUCGGGUGUGAAAGCCCGGGGCUUAACCCCGGGUCUGCAUUCGAUACGGGCAGGCUAGAGUGUGGUAGGGGAGAUCGGAAUUCCUGGUGUAGCGGUGAAAUGCGCAGAUAUCAGGAGGAACACCGGUGGCGAAGGCGGAUCUCUGGGCCAUUACUGACGCUGAGGAGCGAAAGCGUGGGGAGCGAACAGGAUUAGAUACCCUGGUAGUCCACGCCGUAAACGGUGGGAACUAGGUGUUGGCGACAUUCCACGUCGUCGGUGCCGCAGCUAACGCAUUAAGUUCCCCGCCUGGGGAGUACGG
RNAcentral lists this ribosomal RNA (626 nucleotides) under uncultured bacterium. RNAcentral's name for it is "bacterial SSU rRNA". It matches the Rfam family "Bacterial small subunit ribosomal RNA", at positions 249 to 885 of the family's 1533-position model. The record is from RNAcentral.